AUGGUGCGGCUGCCUGAGGGUAUCACUGGGGAGGAGCUCGACAUCAUCAAGCUGACUGCACAGUUCGUGGCUCGGGAUGGGAAGAACUUCCUGACGAGCCUGGCACACCGAGAGAGCACCAACUCGCAGUUUAACUUAAUCCGACCCACGCACAGCAUGUUUACUUUCUUCACCAUGUUUGCCGACGUGUACUCGAGGGUGCUGAGCCCGGAUGAGGGUGUGCCUGCACUGACAAAGGAGAUGCAGGAGGGGUCGAUAGACCUCACCACUGAGCAGGCGAAGCAACAGGCAGAGGAUGAACUUGAGCUGGAGAGGGUGCAGAUGUCGAUGAUUGAUUGGCAUGAUUUUGUUGUUGUUGCGACAAUUGAGUUCGCAGAUGAUGAAUAUGAGGGGCUACCUGUCCCGCCUACGCUAGAAGAAUUGAAGCGCCAGAAGAGGAUGGAGACCUUGGGAGAGGAGGAACCCAUGGAAUUGGCUGAACCAGCUAAGGAUGAAGGAAUGAAGGCAGCAAGGCUUGAGGAGAACGGAGGAGGAGCACAAGUUAGGGUGGCCGGUGAUCAGGAGCCGCCUAUGAGAAUUGUCAAGAACUAUAAGAGGCCCGAGGAGAGGAUCCCUACGGCGAGGGACCCGACCAAGUUUGUUGUUUCAACAAUAACCAGAGAGCUCAUUCCGAUUAGCGAGAUGGGGGAACACAUGCGCAUCUCGCUCAUUGACCCGAAGUACAAGGAACAGAAGGAAAGAAUGCUGGCCAAGAUUAAGGAGACCACGCUUGCUCCAGAUGAUGAGGUCGUCAAUAACAUUGUUGGUCUUGCACGGACAAGGCCAGACAUAUUUGGAACAACUGAGGAAGAGGUUUCUAAUGCCGUCAAGGCAGAAAUUGAAAAGAAAAAGGAUGAGCAGCCAAAGCAGGUUAUUUGGGAUGGUCAUUCUGGUAGCAUUGGUCAAACUGCCACUCAGGCAAUGUCUAUGGGUGGUGAAGAACAAGUUGAUGCCUCAAAUGUUCCAGGUCCAGCUCCACUUCCCCGGUUUGUCAUGCCGUUGCCCCAGCCUCCUCAACCACUUUCUUUGGUUAAUGUUCCCCGAUUUACACCAAAUCGAAUGCCUUAUCAUCUCCAAACCCCAGCUCAUCAUAAGCAAGGAGUUCCACAUAUGAUGUCCAACAUGCACCCACAGAUGAUUAGGAUGUCAGGUCCCAUGGGUCCUAUGCCAAAAAAUAUCCCCCCUCGUCCAGGCCAUAUUACUCAGUUCAUGCCUGGUCCACCAAGGUUCCCUAUGCCGCCACCCCCGCACAUGCAGACCACGCCAACCAUGGUCAACCCCAUUGGAAUCCCCCAGGCUCCACCACCUUUGCCUCCACAACCACCUGCCGAGGAGCAGCCACCUCUACCUGAGGAACCAGAACCUAAGAGGCAGAGAACAGAUGAUGCUUCUCUGAUCCCAGUUGAGCAGUUUCUUGUUCAGCAUCCGGGCCCUGCGCGCAUCUUGGUUUCUGUACCCAACCUCGAUGAAGGAAGCUUGCGAGGCCAAGUUUUGGAGAUCUCUGUCCAGUCACUCUCAGACACAGUCGGCAGUCUGAAGGAGCAGAUUGCGGGAGAGCUGCAGCUUCCUGCUAAUAAGCAGAAGUUGAGUGUGAGAACUAGUUUCCUCAAAGACAAUCUUUCUCUUGCUUAUUACAAUGUUGGCCCUGGGGUGGUGAUCAAUCUAACUCUGAGAGAGCGCGGUGGGAGAAAGAAAUGA
This 1737-nucleotide ribosomal RNA is filed under the name Triticum aestivum (bread wheat). RNAcentral describes it as "partial small subunit ribosomal RNA". The record is from RNAcentral. Lineage: Eukaryota; Viridiplantae; Streptophyta; Magnoliopsida; Poales; Poaceae.